Molecule: ribosomal RNA, 497 nt
Filed under: uncultured bacterium
Lineage: Bacteria
Description: partial 16S ribosomal RNA
Rfam family: Bacterial small subunit ribosomal RNA
Source: RNAcentral
GAUGAACGCUGGCGGCGUGCCUAAUACAUGCAAGUCGAGCGAACGGACGAGAAGCUUGCUUCUCUGAUGUUAGCGGCGGACGGGUGAGUAACACGUGGAUAACCUACCUAUAAGACUGGGAUAACUUCGGGAAACCGGAGCUAAUACCGGAUGAUAUUUUGAACCGCAUGGUUCAAAAGUGAAAGACGGUCUUGCUGUCACUUAUAGAUGGAUCCGCGCUGCAUUAGCUAGUUGGUAAUGUAACGGCUUACCAAGGCAACGAUGCAUAGCCGACCUGAGAGGGUGAUCGGCCACACUGGAACUGAGACACGGUCCAGACUCCUACGGGAGGCAGCAGUAGGGAAUCUUCCGCAAUGGGCGAAAGCCUGACGGAGCAACGCCGCGUGAGUGAUGAAGGUCUUCGGAUCGUAAAACUCUGUUAUUAGGGAAGAACUUAUGUGUAAGUAACUGUGCACAUCUUGACGAUACCUAAUCAGAAAGCCACGGCUAACUACGUG